CUGUGACUGUCAUUUGAAGUCACUGCUUUUGGGGAUUGUUGGUUAUAGAUAGUAGGUAACCAAAAUAGCAAGGAAUGCUGCAGAUGGAUGUCAGGCUGAAAAUCUCAGAGGCAACAUACGUACGAUCAAGUAUCAGCAAUUUCAAUGUAAAUGACAUGGAAAGUAAAAAUACAUAAAUUAAUAAAUAAAUGAAGAAAAUAAAGGAGAGAGGACAGGAAAUCAGAAGACAGACUUUUGGAGAUGGAGAAAUGAGUAAGUGGAGGUGGGAGAAAAAAGAGCAAAGAAAGGGAAGGAGGAAGUCAGCAAGUAUCCCUGGGCUCUAUGCCAACAGAAAAGAUAAUGACAGAGAGUGCUGUUGGAGUUUACAGAGAAAGAGUUCUUUUGGAAAAGCAAAGAGAUUAUUAAAUGGAAGAUAGAAUUCUAAAUUCACAGACAAUGGGCAUCUAAACUUUGCUCCAUGCUGGAUCUGGGGGAAAUGU
This 479-nucleotide long non-coding RNA is filed under the name Chinchilla lanigera (long-tailed chinchilla). RNAcentral describes it as "lncRNA (ENSCLAG00000025124.1)". The record is from RNAcentral. Lineage: Eukaryota; Metazoa; Chordata; Mammalia; Rodentia; Chinchillidae.